This 449-nucleotide ribosomal RNA is filed under the name uncultured bacterium. Its description in RNAcentral is "partial 16S ribosomal RNA". It matches the Rfam family "Bacterial small subunit ribosomal RNA", at positions 29 to 523 of the family's 1533-position model. The record is from RNAcentral.
AACGAACGCUGGCGGCAGGCCUAACACAUGCAAGUCGAACGAAGCCUUCGGGCUUAGUGGCGGACGGGUGAGUAACACGUGGGAACGUACCUUUUGGUUCGGAAUAACGCAGAGAAAUUUGCGCUAAUACCGAAUGAGCCCUUCGGGGGAAAGAUUUAUCGCCGAAAGAUCGGCCCGCGUUGGAUUAGGUAGUUGGUGUGGUAAAGGCGCACCAAGCCUACGAUCCAUAGCUGGUCUGAGAGGAUGAUCAGCCACACUGGGGCUGAGACACGGCCCAGACUCCUACGGGAGGCAGCAGUGGGGAAUCUUGCGCAAUGGGCGAAAGCCUGACGCAGCCAUGCCGCGUGAAUGAUGAAGGUCUUAGGAUUGUAAAAUUCUUUUACCAGGGACGAUAAUGACGGUACCUGGAGAAAAAGCCCCGGCUAACUUCGUGCCAGCCGCCGCCGUAA